CUUUAUUGGAGAGUUUGAUCCUGGCUCAGGAUGAACGCUGGCGGCGUGCCUAAUACAUGCAAGUCGAGCGAAUGGAUUAAGAGCUUGCUCUUAUGAAGUUAGCGGCGGACGGGUGAGUAACACGUGGGUAACCUGCCCAUAAGACUGGGAUAACUCCGGGAAACCGGGGCUAAUACCGGAUAACAUUUUGAACCGCAUGGUUCGAAAUUGAAAGGCGGCUUCG
RNAcentral lists this ribosomal RNA (223 nucleotides) under Bacillus sp. cl96. Its description in RNAcentral is "16S rRNA. Bacterial SSU". It matches the Rfam family "Bacterial small subunit ribosomal RNA", at positions 1 to 213 of the family's 1533-position model. Lineage: Bacteria; Bacillati; Bacillota; Bacilli; Caryophanales; Bacillaceae. The record is from RNAcentral.